GACGAACGCUGGCGGCGUGCUUAACACAUGCAAGUCGAACGGAAAGGCCCUGCUUUUGUGGGGUGCUCGAGUGGCGAACGGGUGAGUAACACGUGAGUAACCUGCCCUUGACUUUGGGAUAACUUCAGGAAACUGGGGCUCAUACCGGAUAGGAGCUCCUGCUGCAUGGUGGGGGUUGGAAAGUUUCGGCGGUUGGGGAUGGACUCGCGGCUUAUCAGCUUGUUGGUGGGGUAGUGGCUUACCAAGGCUUUGACGGGUAGCCGGCCUGGGAGGGUGACCGGCCACAUUGGUACUGCGAUACGGCCCAGACUCCUACGGGAGGCAGCAGUGGGGAAUAUUGCACAAUGGGCGGAAGCCUGAUGCAGCAACGCCGCGUGCGGGAUGACGGCCUGCGGGUUGUAAACCGCUUUCGCCUGUGACGAAGCGUGAGUGACGGUAAUGGGUAAAGAAGCACCGGCUAACUACGUG
Molecule: ribosomal RNA, 468 nt
Filed under: uncultured bacterium
Lineage: Bacteria
Description: partial 16S ribosomal RNA
Rfam family: Bacterial small subunit ribosomal RNA
Source: RNAcentral